RNAcentral lists this ribosomal RNA (2282 nucleotides) under gut metagenome. RNAcentral's name for it is "bacterial LSU rRNA". It matches the Rfam family "Bacterial large subunit ribosomal RNA", at positions 1 to 2316 of the family's 2925-position model. The record is from RNAcentral.
UUAUGCUGAUAAGAGCGUAUGGUGGAUGCCUUGGCACUAAGAGCCGAUGAAAGACGUGAUAAGCUGCGAAAAGCUUCGGGGAGGGGCAAAUACCCAUUGAUCCGGAGAUUUCUGAAUGGGGAAACCUACCUGAGCAAACCUCAGGUAUCCUGACGCCAAUCCAUAACGUCAGGAAGGGAACCCGGUGAACUGAAACAUCUAAGUAGCCGGAGGAAGAGAAAACAACAUGUGAUUCUGUGAGUAGCGGCGAGCGAAAACGGAAGAGCCCAAACCAGUGUGCGUGCAUGCUGGGGUUCGGACCGCGGAAUUGAUUCAACAAGUUUAGCAGAACGGUUUUGGGAAAGCCGGCCAGAGAGGGUGAAAGCCCCGUAAGCGAAAGACGAGUUGACAUGGCGGGAUCCAGAGUACCACGAGACACGUGGAACCUUGUGGGAAUAUGCGGGGACCACCCCGUAAGGCUAAAUACUACUUAGUGACCGAUAGCGCAUAGUACUGUGAAGGAAAGGUGAAAAGGACCCCGGGAGGGGAGUGAAAAAGAACCUGAAACCAUAUGUUUACAAGCUGUGGAAGAGCUUUAUAUGCUCAACCGCGUACUUUUUGUAGAACGGUCCGGCGAGUUACGCUGGCUGGCGAGGUUAAGCACUGAAGGUGUGGAGCCGAAGGGAAACCAAGUCUGAAUAGGGCGAAGAGUCAGUCGGAGUAGACCCGAAACCGGGUGAUCUAUCCAUGUCCAGGUUGAAGUUGCCGUAAAAGGCAAUGGAGGACCGAACCCACAUCCGUUGAAAAGGGUGGGGAUGAGGUGUGGAUAGGGGAGAAAUUCCAAUCGAACCCGGAGAUAGCUGGUUCUCCUCGAAAUAGCUUUAGGGCUAGCCUCAUACGAGUCUUGCGGAGGUAGAGCACUGAAUUCCUAAGGGGGCGUCAAAGCUUACUAAGGGAUAUCAAACUCCGAAUGCCGUGUAGAUGAUGUAUGGGAGUCAGACGAUCCGAGAUAAGUUGGGUGGUCAAAAGGGAAAGAGCCCAGACCAACAGCUAAGGCCCCAAAAUGUGUGUUAAGUGGAAAAGGAUGUGGGAUUUCGAAGACAACUAGGAUGUUGGCUCAGAAGCAGCCAUCCAUUCAAAGAGUGCGUAAUAGCUCACUAGUCGAGAGGUCCUGCGCCGAAAAUGUCCGGGGCUGAAACACACUGCCGAAGCUUUGGAAUUGAUGAAUUUCAAUUGGUAGAGGAGCAUUCUUAAAGAGACGAAGCAGUACCGGAAGGAGCUGUGGAUUUUUAAGAAGAGAGAAUGCCGGAAUGAGUAGCGAGAGGAAGGUGGGAAUCCUUCCGGCCGAAUAUCUAAGGUUUCCAGAGUAAAGCUGAUCUGCUCUGGGUAAGUCGGGGCCUAAGGCGAGGUCGAAAGACGUAGUCGAUGGAUAACAGGUUGAAAUUCCUGUACUAUCCUGUAACAGAACUGUGGGGACACAGGCAGAGAGCGUGAGCCGGGAAUGGAAAGACCGGUACAAGCGAGGUAGGAGAAGAGUUGGCAAAUCCGCUCUUCAAUCUGAAGACGUGAUGUGGACCGAAAAGAAGUAGGGAAGCACGUGAGCUGACUGUCAAGAAAAGCCGCUAUUGUUUGCAGGAUACCCGUACCGUAAACCGACACAGGUGGAUGAGGAGAGAAUCCUAAGGCCGACGGGAGAAGCAUUGUUAAGGAACUCGGCAAAAUGACUCCGUAACUUCGGGAGAAGGAGUGCCAGUAAGAUGGCCGCAGAGAAUUGGCCCAAGCAACUGUUUAGCAAAAACACAGGUCUAUGCAAAACCGAAAGGUGAGGUAUAUGGGCUGACGCCUGCCCGGUGCUGGAAGGUUAAGGGGAGAGGUUAGCCGUAAGGCGAAGCUUUGAACUUAAGCCCCAGUAAACGGCGGCCGUAACUAUAACGGUCCUAAGGUAGCGAAAUUCCUUGUCGGGUAAGUUCCGACCCGCACGAAAGGCGUAAUGAUUUGGGCACUGUCUCAACAAUGCACCCGGUGAAAUUGAAAUACCAGUGAAGAUGCUGGUUACCUGCGCCAGGACGGAAAGACCCCAUGGAGCUUUACUCCAGCUUGAUACUGGGAUUCGGUAUUGUAUGUACAGGAUAGGUGGGAGGCUUUGAAGUGGUUACGCCAGUAGCCAUGGAGCCGCUGUUGGGAUACCACCCUUGCAGUACUGGGUUUCUAACCAGCAGCCGUGAUCCGGCUGGGGGACAAUGUCAGGUGGGGAGUUUGACUGGGGCGGUCGCCUCCGAAAGGGUAUCGGAGGCGCUCAAAGG